Molecule: ribosomal RNA, 253 nt
Filed under: uncultured bacterium
Lineage: Bacteria
Description: partial 16S ribosomal RNA
Rfam family: Bacterial small subunit ribosomal RNA
Source: RNAcentral
UACGUAGGGGGCAAGCGUUGUCCGGAAUCAUUGGGCGUAAAGCGCGUGUAGGUGGCCCGAUAAGUCCGCUGUGAAAGUCCAGGGCUCAACCCUGGGAUGCCGGUGGAUACUGUCGGGCUCGAGUCCGGAAGAGGCGAGUGGAAUUCCUGGUGUAGCGGUGAAAUGCGCAGAUAUCAGGAGGAACACCAAUGGCGAAGGCAGCUCGCUGGGACGUGACUGACGCUGAGACGCGAAAGCGUGGGGAGCAAACAGG